CAAUCGAACCCGGAGAUAGCUGGUUCUCCUCGAAAUAGCUUUAGGGCUAGCCUCGCAUUAGUUUACCGGAGGUAGAGCACUGAAUGGUCUAGGGGGCCUCACCGCCUACCGAAACCUAUCAAACUGCGAAUGCCGGAUAAAUGAUGUGCGGGAGUCAGGCCGCGAGAGAUAAGUUCCGCGGUCAAAAGGGGAACACCCCAGAUCGUCUGCUAAGGUCCCCAAGUACGCGUUAAGUGGGAAAGGAUGUUGGAUUGCACAGACAACCAGGAUGUUGGCUUAGAAGCAGCCACACAUUCAAAGAGUGCGUAAUAGCUCACUGGUCGAGUGAUCCAGCGCCGAAAAUGUAACGGGGCUAAAACGCGACACCGAAGCAGCGGGAUGCGUAAGCAUCGGUAGAGGAGCAUUGUGUGAGGGUUGAAGCCAGAGCGGGAGCACUGGUGGACUUCACAGAAGAGAGAAUGCCGGUAUGAGUAGCGAGACCCAUGCGAGAAACAUGGGCGUCGAAGGCCCAAGGUUUCCUGGGGAAGGUUCAUCCACCCAGGGUAAGUCGGGACCUAAGCCGAGGACUGAGGUCGUAGGCGAUGGACAGCAGGUAGAGAUUCCUGCACCACUUACACUUGUUUGACGAAGCAGUGACACAGAAGGAUAGGACGAGCGCGGUGAUGGUCAACCGCGUAGGCGGCACGAGGCCGGGAAGCAGUGAAGUACACUUCCCGCAAAGGCUGAGUGUUGACAGGACCGAAAAGAAGUAGGGAAGCGUCCGAGUUCACGCUGGCGAGAAAAGCUGCUAAGGAGAGUGUGAGUGCCCGUACCGGAAACCGACGCAGGUGGGCGAGGAGAGAAUCCUGAGACGGACGGGAGAACUCUUGUUAAGGAACUCGGCAAAAUGACCCCGUAACUUCGGGAGAAGGGGUGCCUCGAAAGAGGCCGCAGAGAAUAGUCACAAGCGACUGUUUAGCAAAAACACAGGUAUCUGCGAAAGCGAGAGCUGACGUAUAGGUGCUGACGCCUGCCCGGUGCUGGAAGGUUAAGGGGAAGUGUUAGGGGAAACCCGAAGCAGAGAACCGAAGCCCCAGUAAACGGCGGCCGUAACAAUAACGGUCCUAAGGUAGCGAAAUUCCUUGUCGGGUAAGUUCCGACCCGCACGAAUGGCGUAACGACUUGUGAGCUGUCUCAACAGGAGGCCCGGUGAAAUUGAAGUAUGUGUGAAGAUGCACAUUACCCGCGACUGGACGGAAAGACCCCGUAGAGCUUUACUGUAACCUGACAUUGGAUCUUGAUAACGGAUGCACAGGAUAGGUGGGACGCUGGGAGACGAGGACUUUGGUUUUCGUGGAGCGGCCGUUGGGAUACCACUCUUCUGUUAUUGAGAUUCUAACCUCAAGCCGUGAGCCGGAUGAGAGACAGUGUCAGGCGGACAGUUUGACUGGGGCGGUCGCCUCCGAAAGAGUAACGGAGGCGCCCAAAGGU
This 1470-nucleotide ribosomal RNA is filed under the name human gut metagenome. RNAcentral describes it as "bacterial LSU rRNA". It matches the Rfam family "Bacterial large subunit ribosomal RNA", at positions 830 to 2317 of the family's 2925-position model. The record is from RNAcentral.